UUUUUUUUUUUUUGAGUUGGUGUCUUGCUCUGUCAACCAAACUAGAGUGCAAUGGCAUCAUCACAGCUCACUGGCAGCCUCAACCUCCCAGGCUCAAAGGAUCCUCCUGCCCCAGACUUUCUAGUAACUGAGACUAGAGGUGUGCACCACCAUGCCCAGCUAAUUUUACUUUUUGUAGCGACAUUGUUUUGCUAUGUUGACCAGGCUAGUCUCAAACUCUUGGGCUCAAGUGAUCCUUCUUCCUCAGCCUCCCAAAGUGCUGAGAUUAUAGACAUGGGCUACAAUACCUGGGCCAAAAAAAUUUUUUUAAAAGGGAAGCUUUACAUUGUAUUAUUUUUUUUUCUGGACAAUGCCUUAUGUUCCUUAAACAGAAGUCUACCUAAAUAAUAAAAUGUGAAGUUUUCCUCUCACAGGGGAGAAGUAGAGUCUCCAGGAGUUAUCUCAUGGGUUGGCUCAGGUUGACAGAGGCAGGCACAGGCCUACUGGGCUGGACAAACCACAUCAUGUGCUUAUCCUUUCCACCAUGUUGCUUAAUUUUUCUACCCUAGGAGGCCUCAAUAGAUUGUAAAGGUUUUAAGAUUGAGACACAAUUUUUUCAGUCAUGUUUGCCGCUGGCCUAAAAAUGUCUGGCAAAUCCAGUCCUGAAACCCCAAGGGACAUCUUAGAAUGCCAAGUACGUCAAUAGUAACACACUCGCACUCUAUAAAAUGGGCUGAGGGUCUUCUAUGUGCUAGGCCCUCUAAUUCUUUCGAUAGGAACUAGAGACAUGAAUGAAUGUGCUUCCUCCUCCUCAGCUUCCUGCUCCCCAGCAUGUGCUGAGAGGGUGGUCCUCCAGCUCCCAGCCAGGACUGGGGUAGCCCAAGGCACAUCUGCUAACUCCACCGUGAGCACACAUGGUGUACCCUAGAGUCACAAAUCAAUAGUGGGAUUCCCUCAUGGACAAAGGUGGGAGCACCUGCCUUAGGUUAAGGAGGCACAUUAGGAGGUGACCAGAGGCACAAGCCUCAUGGUCUGACAGGUUUGAGGUUGAUUCUGCUGGUGAUUAGUUAGACAAUGUGUCCAUAUGACUUAACUCUAAAGGAAUUUAGUCUUCUCACUUAUAAAAUAGGAAGAAUGAAACCAAUGAGGUUCUUCCUGUGUCAUGAAGCCAACAAGCCUGGACUAUCCUUGGCCCUCAAUACAUGUCAGCUGUUUGGGGAAGCUCAAUAGUAUCCUCCUCUUGCUUCCAAUUAAAGUUUUCAUUCCCAUUAUAUUCCUAGCUGGGUAAAGAAGACUUAGGCAAUAAGUCAAAGUCAUACUAAGUAAAUUUUUAAAAAUCGAUAGCAAACGCAAUUUUUUUAGCAAAUGCAUUUUUGAGUUUCUAGGCUAAAUUUAUUAAUAGUUCUACAUACGAUUUUUCUACCCUUUUCUCCUGUACAGAGUAGACAACUCAGAGUCCAAUUUUCCUGCCUCCCAUCACUAUGG
Molecule: long non-coding RNA, 1464 nt
Filed under: Macaca fascicularis (crab-eating macaque)
Lineage: Eukaryota; Metazoa; Chordata; Mammalia; Primates; Cercopithecidae
Description: lncRNA (ENSMFAG00000063009.1)
Source: RNAcentral